GUCCACGCCCUAAACGAUGAGUGCUAGAUGUCGGAUUUUCGGAUUCGGUGUCGCAGCUAACGCAUUAAGCACUCCGCCUGGGGAGUACGGUCGCAAGAUUAAAACUCAAAGGAAUUGACGGGGGCCCCGCACAAGCGGUGGAGCAUGUGGUUUAAUUCGAAGCAACGCGCAGAACCUUACCAGCUCUUGACAUUAUACUUGCGGAACAUGGAAACAUGUUUCUCACUUCGGGUGGGGUAUAACAGGUGCUGCAUGGCUGUCGU
This 263-nucleotide ribosomal RNA is filed under the name uncultured bacterium. RNAcentral's name for it is "partial 16S ribosomal RNA". It matches the Rfam family "Bacterial small subunit ribosomal RNA", at positions 793 to 1055 of the family's 1533-position model. The record is from RNAcentral.